RNAcentral lists this ribosomal RNA (258 nucleotides) under uncultured prokaryote. Its description in RNAcentral is "partial 16S ribosomal RNA". It matches the Rfam family "Bacterial small subunit ribosomal RNA", at positions 524 to 780 of the family's 1533-position model. The record is from RNAcentral.
UACGUAGGGUGCGAGCGUUGUCCGGAAUUACUGGGCGUAAAGAGCUCGUAGGUGGUUUGUCACGUCGUCUGUGAAAUUCCGGGGCUUAACCUCGGGCGUGCAGGCGAUACGGGCAAUACUUGAGUGCUGUAGGGGAGACUGGAAUUCCUGGUGUAGCGGUGAAAUGCGCAGAUAUCAGGAGGAACACCAAUGUCGAAGGCAGGUCUCUGGGCAGUUACUGACGCUGAGGAGCGAAAGCAUGGGUAGCGAACAGGAUUA